Molecule: ribosomal RNA, 266 nt
Filed under: uncultured bacterium
Lineage: Bacteria
Description: partial 16S ribosomal RNA
Source: RNAcentral
ACCUGAAAAAAGCAAAGCAGGGAAAGCGGGGGAGGGGUUGACAGGGAUGAUCGGGAAGUGUAGGAUCAAACGGUUGACUCUUUCGGGGAGAAAAAAAGCCCUGAAGAGAAAGACGCCCUGUGGAAACGCAGGGAGAGCGUCUCGGAUCAUUGACAACUAAAUAGGAGCAGCAACGUCCAAUUAAAGGGCCCUGAUCACGAAACACAGGAAUAAAAUGAAUCUGGAGAGUUUGAUCCUGGCUCAGAACGAACGCUGGCGGCGUGCCU